Prosopis cineraria is the source of this 377-nucleotide long non-coding RNA. RefSeq lists it as uncharacterized. The record is from RefSeq and is a predicted model, not a curated record. The transcript is spliced from 3 exons. NCBI's taxonomy places the organism in Eukaryota, Viridiplantae, Streptophyta, Magnoliopsida, Fabales, Fabaceae.
UUAGAGAAAAUUGCAACUUUUGGCCCAAAGGUUUGAAUAAUUAAAUUCAAACCUAUAGUUUUUUUUUAAUAUAAUUUUGGGACUCACAAUCCCAUUUUUAUAUUAUUUUUCUCUCUUCCUCUCACGUUGCUCGGCGUUUUCUCGCAAGGGGGGAUUAUUUUCUUUUUCUUCAGAUUAUAUUGACAAAGAUAGUGGUGAAAAAGGAGUUGUGAAGGGGAACUUGUUAUUCAAGACACAAGGAGCGAAUCCGGCCGAGAAAGCACCAGAGGUGUAAUUAUGGUGUAUGAGACACCAUCUUUUACGUUGCCUCUUAUUUUGGAUUAUACAAUGUAUCUUGUGCCAACUUAGGACAUAUCUUGUCUAUGGAGCAUGUAAAC